AGGGAUGUAGCUCAGCGGUAGAAUGCUUGCCUGGCAUGCAUGAGAACAUGGGUUUGAACCUCAGCAUCACAA
Molecule: transfer RNA, 72 nt
Filed under: Ictidomys tridecemlineatus (thirteen-lined ground squirrel)
Lineage: Eukaryota; Metazoa; Chordata; Mammalia; Rodentia; Sciuridae
Description: Spermophilus tridecemlineatus (thirteen-lined ground squirrel) tRNA
Rfam family: tRNA
About the family: Transfer RNA (tRNA) molecules are approximately 80 nucleotides in length. Their secondary structure includes four short double-helical elements and three loops (D, anti-codon, and T loops).
Source: Rfam by way of RNAcentral